CCUACGGGGCGCAGCAGUGGGGAAUAUUGGACAAUGGGGGGAACCCUGAUCCAGCGACGCCGCGUGAGUGAAGAAGUAUUUCGGUAUGUAAAGCUCUAUCAGCAGGGAAGAAAAUGACGGUACCUGACUAAGAAGCCCCGGCUAACUACGUGCCAGCAGCCGCGGUAAUACGUAGGGGGCAAGCGUUAUCCGGAUUUACUGGGUGUAAAGGGGGCGCAGACGGCAAUGCAAGCCAGGAGUGAAAGCCCGGGGCCCAACCCCGGGACUGCUCUUGGAACUGCAUGGCUGGCGUACAGGAGGGGCAG
This 305-nucleotide ribosomal RNA is filed under the name uncultured bacterium. RNAcentral describes it as "bacterial SSU rRNA". It matches the Rfam family "Bacterial small subunit ribosomal RNA", at positions 338 to 660 of the family's 1533-position model. The record is from RNAcentral.